This 313-nucleotide unclassified non-coding RNA is filed under the name Hevea brasiliensis (rubber tree). The record is from RNAcentral. Lineage: Eukaryota; Viridiplantae; Streptophyta; Magnoliopsida; Malpighiales; Euphorbiaceae.
GUCGACAGCGAAGCGCUGGCCUGUGUCGUCCAUGCCGAUGUGCUGACGCAGUUCGGCUACACGAUCUCCGCCGAGCAGGUGCAUGAUCGUUUCCUCGGGCGUUCGGCGCGUGAGGCACGGCUUGAAGUCGAAAGCGAACUUGGCCGCGUUUUCCCUGACUCCUAUACCGCGCAAUUGCGGGCCACGAUCGACCAGGUGUUCGGCGAACAGUUGCAACCCGUUCCACACAUUUUUGAGACGCUGGACCGAUUGUCCCAGCGCAUCUGCGUGGCGUCCUCCGGCACACCGACGCGAAUUCGAAGCAGCCUCGGCA